GAAUUCGAUUAGGCCUAACACAUGCAAGUCGAACGGAAUCCUUCGGGAUUUAGUGGCGGACGGGUGAGUAACACGUAAGAAUCUGCCAAAAGGUUUGGGAAAACAGUGGGAAACGACUGCUAAUCCCAAAUAAGCCGAAACGUAAAAGGAGAAAUCCGCCUUUUGAUGAGCUUGCGGCUGACUAGCUAGUUGGUAGUGUAAGGGACUACCAAGGCGACGAUCAGUAGCUGGUCUGAGAGGAGGAGCAGCCACACUGGGACUGAGACACGGCCCAGACUCCUACGGGAGGCAGCAGUGGGGAAUUUUCCUCAAAGGGCGAAAGCCU
This 325-nucleotide ribosomal RNA is filed under the name uncultured bacterium. RNAcentral's name for it is "bacterial SSU rRNA". It matches the Rfam family "Bacterial small subunit ribosomal RNA", at positions 46 to 384 of the family's 1533-position model. The record is from RNAcentral.